AACGAACGCUGGCGGCAUGCCUAACGCAUGCAAGUCGAACGAGAACUUCGGGUCUAUUGUCGCACGGGUUCGUAACGCGUGGGAACCUGCCCUUGGGUUCGGAAUAACUCCCCGAAAGGGGUACUAAUACCGGAUAAUGUCUUCGGACCAAAGAUUUAUCGCCUUUGGAUGGGCCCGCGUGGGAUUAGCUGGUUGGUAGGGUAAAAGCCUACCAAGGCGACGAUCCAUAACUGGUCUGAGAGGCAGAUCAGCCACACUGGGACUGGGACACGGCCCAGACUCCUCCGGGAGGCAGCAGUGGGGGAUGUUGGACAGUGGGCGAAAGGCUGAUCCAGCAAUGCCCGGUGAGUGAUGAAGGCCUUAGGGUUGUAAAGCUCUUUUACCUGGGAUGAUAAUGACAGUACCGGGACAAUAAGCCCCGGCUAACUCCGUG
This 433-nucleotide ribosomal RNA is filed under the name uncultured bacterium. RNAcentral's name for it is "partial 16S ribosomal RNA". It matches the Rfam family "Bacterial small subunit ribosomal RNA", at positions 29 to 507 of the family's 1533-position model. The record is from RNAcentral.